AUACACAAUGCAACUACUACUUAUCUAUUCACUAUGGGUGCUAGUAGGGGCCUCAUGUUUGAAUUUUGCCCAAGACUGUAGAGCCACCACUGUGUCCUGUCUUGAGUAGCUUCUGGGCACGUUGUAGGGCUUAUUCUUCUUUCAGUAGUGCAACUUAGUGCAGGUCUCAGAUACCAUGGUUUGGGCAGUGCACAAGGCAGUUCUGGGGGGACUGUUCAUUAGAAGGGCCUCCUUCCUGAA
Non-coding RNA from Pelobates cultripes (western spadefoot toad), 240 nucleotides. NCBI's taxonomy places the organism in Eukaryota, Metazoa, Chordata, Amphibia, Anura, Pelobatidae. The record is from the annotation of a GenBank genome assembly.